GAUGAAGAACGUAGCGAAAUGCGAUAAGUAAUGUGAAUUGCAGAAUUCAGUGAAUCAUCGAAUCUUUGAACGCACAUUGCGCCCGCCAGUAUUCUGGCGGGCAUGCCUGUUCGAGCGUCAUUUCAACCAUCAAGCCCCCGGCUUGUGUUGGGGACCUGCGGCUGCCGCAGGCCCUGAAAACCAGUGGCGGGCUCGCUAGUCACUCCGAGCGUAGUAAUACAUCUCGCUCAGGGCGUGCUGCGGGUUCCGGCCGUUAAAAAGCCUUAUUUACCCAAGGUUGACCUCGGAUCAGGUAGGAAGACCCGAUGAACUUAAGCAUAUCAAUAGCGGAGGA
RNAcentral lists this unclassified non-coding RNA (334 nucleotides) under soil metagenome. Its description in RNAcentral is "partial contains 5.8S ribosomal RNA, internal transcribed spacer 2, and large subunit ribosomal RNA". The stretch from base 1 to 120 matches the Rfam family "5.8S ribosomal RNA", at positions 35 to 154 of the family's 154-position model. The record is from RNAcentral.